GAGCACGUGGCGGUUGUUGUGGUGCCUCCCGCAGCGGAGCGGGAGAAUGAGUGGCCAAUGAGGAACUUGUCGCUUCGCGGCAAACUAAGGGAGGACCAAUAGUGAGGACCCACGGGGGCCUCCAUGGGGGCGGGGGUAAGAUUACUCCUUAGUCGGUAACCAGGAAUCUAGGCUUCUUGAGACUGAAGGGGCGGGGCCGCGCGAGGCGGAGUGAUGCGAAACCCGGAAUUUGGCCGCCCUGCGCGGUAGGCCCACCUGGGCUGGCCCGCGAUGUGGGCGGUCUUUCUUCCCUCAGAGAACCAGAGCAGCAAAGGAGGUGCAUGGCAGCUUGUCCAAAACUCCUGCACGUCCAGGCCCGGCUGAACCUGCCCGCUCCAUGAGAAGCCACACGAGGGCCUCUGGCAGAGGGUCCGGGUUGGGGACUUGCAACUGCAGUAGGACAAGGGUGCCAAGGCAGGCUGGCGCAAGUUGGCGAGAAAGAGAGGGCCUUGUUAUUUUGGUGGAAAAGAGACACUCCAUUUAUUCAUUUUAAUGAAUAAAGUCAAUCAUUUAUUGAACACCAGCUGCCAGGCAUUGUUCUGGAUGCUGGAAAAAGUGGCCAACAGAAGAUGCUCUCCCUCCUGGUGUAGCCAAGAAGACAGGCACCCAAGAGCUUAUGCUAAAUAAGAGCCAGUGUUUGCUGGGCAGGGUGCUGAUGGAAAUAACAGCCAAGUGGAGGCUGGAGCGUUGGAUAGUGGGCCCCAUGCUACAUGAAGUGAUCUGGAAAACUCUGUGAAGAGGUGAUGCUUGUCACUAUAAGAAGAUCCUUGGGGAGUUCCUGUUCUGAGGCAGCGGAAAUGAAUCCGACUAGGAACCAUGAAAUUGCAGGCAGCAUGUGCCUGUGGAAACAAAGGGGAAGAAGCAGAAAUAAGAUGAGAAACAAGACGACUGCUGGAGGUGGACCUGGUGCCCCCCCCAUCUCCUGGCUCAUGGACCCCACAACUGCGGUGGGUGGGCCUCACUGCAGCUUCAGCCACCCCAUCCCCAGCAGCUGUGUCCCCGGUGGCCCUUCCUGUCUAGGUCAUAGGGUAUUUUUAGCACUGAAUCCGGAACUCACUUGGCAGCAGCUGCUCAUGGCCAGAGCACAAGAACAACAAACUGUCCAGGUGGGCCGUGCGGACCUGCCCUGCAGCAGGAGCGACCUGGGCCUGGCUCUCUGA
This 1199-nucleotide long non-coding RNA is filed under the name Sus scrofa (pig). RNAcentral describes it as "lncRNA (ENSSSCG00025050754.1, ENSSSCG00060039722.1)". Lineage: Eukaryota; Metazoa; Chordata; Mammalia; Artiodactyla; Suidae. The record is from RNAcentral.